This is a long non-coding RNA of Spinacia oleracea (spinach), 745 nucleotides long. RefSeq lists it as uncharacterized. The transcript is spliced from 6 exons. The record is from RefSeq and is a predicted model, not a curated record. NCBI's taxonomy places the organism in Eukaryota, Viridiplantae, Streptophyta, Magnoliopsida, Caryophyllales, Amaranthaceae.
GUUAUAUGAUUCAAACUGCAUCCUUUCUAGGUCAUUAAUUCUCAAGCAUCGAUCCCUUGUUUCUUAAUUUCAGCUUGCUGGGGUUGUUGCGGUUGAAGUCACAGGAGGGCCAACCAUCGACUUUGUUCCAGGAAGAAUGGAUUGCGCAGAUUCUCCUGAUGAAGGACGCCUUCCUGAUGCAAAUCAAGGUGCCGGACAUUUGAGAGAAAUCUUUUACAGAAUGGGGCUUUCUGACAAGGAUAUUGUCGCGCUUUCAGGAGGCCACACUCUGGUAUAUUUAUCACCAUUUGAUGGGACAUGAAGUCGAGAUGCAGGUGGUUUGAAAUACUUUGCCUCGUCGAUUUGGCGCUCCAGGUCUUCCAGAGUUGAAUGCAUCUCAGCUACAAUAAUCGGGCAAUUAUGGAGGCUGCUCAAGUACUGCUUUAUUUCGGAGUUGAACAAAUCAUCUAUGUUUCUGAAAUGACGCACUGCUAAAUAAAGGUCUAUUCUCCGAAGACUGCGCCUUAUGCUAGUGAGGAAAAUGAUGUGGUUCGUGAGCAAUGGGCUAAGUUUUAUACCAGCAUGUAUUUAUUAUUGAUCUGAGGGCGCUUGAUCGAGUUGGUUUAGAUGUUAUAGAACAAUUUUUUAUGUUGAAAUGUAUGCUUAUGUUGAAAUUGGAACGUACAUAUAUUUAUUUAAAUGUAUAUAUAUGGUACGUGCACUUUGGUUUUGGGAUAUAUAUACAAAACACCAGUUAUUGUUUUUA